UUUUUUUUUUUUUUUUUUUUUUUUUUUAGUGCUGCACUCAUGGCAUAUGAAGUUCCCAGGUUAGGGGUCAAAUUGGAGCUGUAACUGCCAGCCACUGCCACAGCAAUGGCAGAUCUGAGCUGUGUCUUUGAUCUACAUCACAGCUCAUGGCAAUAGCGGAUCUUUAACCCACUGAGCAAGGCUGGGGAUCAAACCCAUGUCCUCAUGGAUCCUACUCAGGUUCAUUACUGCUGAGCCACAAUGGGAACUCCUCCUCCUGCAGACAUUCUAUCCCUCCUUUUCUAGCCCCUCCAAAGCCUUUAAAAUACAGGAUUUUUUGAUAGGAUUCUCACUCUUGUCCUCAAUAUUCUGCUUAUUCAAUUAACCAAAUGAAUUAUAUGGCCUAUUUCAUCGUAUCCCCUUAUUUGAGCACUUCUGACUUGUCUGUAAUAUUAGACCCAGAAUUUCAGUGUCUACUCAUUAUGUCUCCUCUAUACCAUCUCAGACUCUCCCUAGGCUUCUCACUUUUCCUUAUACUCUCGUAUCUUUUACUGAUUCUGGUUCCAAGAUCUCCAAUUCCAUCUUCUGGUCUCUAAACAACUAUGUACCCAUUAUGUAAAGGACAACUCAAGUUUCAGUCUUCUUCUUUCUGCAUUAGCAGCCCUUGUUGAUUUUGCCCUUCUCUGAAUCUGUAUCAUUUAGAUUAUUUCUCUGUGUCUGGAAAACUAUUUAAACAAAAUACUUAUUAGUAAUACCCAGUACCUAAACAAAAGUAGUUUAUAAUCUGUAAGUUUUUAAGUAAAGCACCAGUUUUUCAUCAUUCCCAGGAAAAGAUUGGAUUUCAAUUUAUGCCCACUUUUAGAAAGAUAAAUUGAUAAAAUACUAAUGGAUUGUGAUCAGUGUAAUUCACAGCCUCAACUUAUUUAUAUGAAAUUGAAAUAUUGAGGUUUGAACUUCUUAAAUAAUCCAACAAACCCAUCUUUCUUAAGUUUCACGUUUCGUUUUCACAAUACAUUCUCAGCAGUUAUUUUUCUCAUUCAGCCCAAAUUGGAAUGGCAGCCAAAUGGCCAAAUAAGACAGGGAUUUUUGAGUAAUUAAAAAAAUUAGUAUUUCCCAGCCUGGAUUGUGAUCAAUGUACUGAAUCAUCAGUGGCUGCCUACAUCGUAACCUUGGACCACCUCACAAUUCAUGGGCACUUGCAUCGUGAUCACCAACUUUAUUGUCAAUGCUUGAAAAUCAAUUAGACUCAAAAAAAGGUAUCUAGAUCUUUAAGAUUUUAUUAAUAUACUUAACAUUUAGAACUAUAACAUUUAUUGCGUUGAAAAUUUAAUAACAUUAUCAUCAUCAUGAUAAUCCGCUAAUAUUUACUGUUCAUUCACCAUAUUCCAGGCAUUGUUCUAAAUGCUUACUUUACUAUUUCAUGCACUCAUCAUAAUAGCCCUAUGACUUAGGUAUUGUUAUUAUUGUAUUUAUCAUCCCCAUUUUAAAGGUGAGGAUUCUGAAGUAGGAGGAUGUUAAGUAAAUUGCCUGAGGACACAUAGCAAAUAAUGGCAGAGUUGGGAUUCAAAAUCAGAUAGUUUAGUAUAUGGAUUGAAGAACCUUAAUAACUUUGGCAGAAUUCACAAUAAAUAUCCUUAGUCAUCAUUGGCUUAAAAUUCUAUUAUAUUAAUCAUUACUUAUCAUAGUCUUUAUCUCUUAAUACUCAUCUUUGCCUUUGUCUUACCUGGGAAAAAUUGGAGCCAGACAUUUAUCUUACAUAGUUUAUUGAGUUGCCCAAAUAGCCUAAACAUUUAUUUUUGCUGGGUAAUAAAGCUAUAAUUAAUGCUUAAAUUAGGUUCAUUAAAGCAGAGGAAAGUAAUAAUCAUUUUUAGAACUUUUAUUUUACUAAGGAUAAAUAAGAGUUAAAAUUUCUGAGACUAUACAAAUGUGGGCUGAAUUUUAUAACAUACCAAAAUUUAUUUCUUGGUUACUUCAUGCCCGUAUUAUUCUUUUUUUUUUCAUUUUUUUAUUACUCAAAUGAAUUUAUCACAUCUGUAGUUGUAUAAUGAUCAUCACAAUCCAAUUUCACAGGAUUUCCAUCCCACAGCCCAGGAACAUCCCCCCACCCCCCAAACUGUCUCCUCUGGAGACCAUACGUUUUUCAAUGUCUGUGAGUCAGCAUCUGUUCUGCAAAGAAAUUCAGUCUGUCCUUUUUUCAGAUUCCACAUGUCAGUGAAAGCAUUUGAUGCUGGUAUCUCAUUGUAUGGCUGACUUCACUUAGCAUGAUAGUUUCUGGGUCCAUCCAUGUUGCUAAAAAUACUGGUAUUUCGUUCUUUUUAAUGGCUGAGUAAUAUUCCAUUGUGUAUAUGUACCCCCUCUUUUUGAUCCACUCCUCUGUGGAUGGACAUUUAGGUUGUUUCCAUGUCUUGGCUAUUGCAAAUAGUGCUGCAAUGAACAUUGGAGUACAUGUGUCUUUGCGAGUGGUGGUUUUCUCUGGAUAGAUGCCCAGGAGUGGGAUUGCUGGAUCAAAUGGUAGUUCUAUGUUUAGUUUUUUGAGGAAUCUUCAUACUGUUUUCCGCAGUUUUUGCACCAAUUUACAUUCCCACCAACAGUGUACUAGGGUUCCUUUUUCUCCACACCCUCUCCAGCACUUAUUUUUUGUAGACUUUUGGAUGAUGGCCAUUCUGGCCAUGCCGGUAUUAUUCUCAUAGGUCAGUUAUAAGUCUCUGGUACCUCUUUGAAAAGGCCCAAAUAACUGGAAGAUUAACUCAUAGUUUCAAUAAAUUCGAAUUAAUUUGAAUGGUAUUUUUAAAAAGCUAACUGCCAUAAUCAGGUAAAGGAAUGCAAUUUAUACUGUAUACUAUGAAGCAGCCAUACAUUCAAAUUUGGCUCCAUUCUACAUCCUUGUAGGGAAUUGAAUAGAAUAUGAGCUAUUUAAGGUAAAUCACUUGGUAGUUUCAAUUUCUGAUCAGGAUUCAUUUGCUUAAAUUACACUGGAAUCUAGUAAAAAAUUAGAAGGUCGUAGGAUUUUGAUGACCUUCAAACAAAAACACAAAAAUGAUAGUUGAUGAACAUAGCACUACUUACUCAUGCUACUCUUUAUUUGUAAAGUUAAAAGCAAAAAUCAAAAAUGGUGAACUAAUUUUGCUAUCUUUUGUGAUCCUACUUGCCUUACUACCAUAAUACAUAUAUCAUCUGAUAUUUUUAAAAUUUAAAUGGCACUUCAAAUUUUCUGGAUAAACCUAGUUUAAAUGACAAAUGAAAAAAUAAGCAACCAUGAGCAAAUUUUGUGUGUGUGUGUGAAACAAUUAAGUGUCUCUAUCCUUAAAAAGAAAUUGGUUUGGAUUCCAAUUCUCCAUGACAAAUGGAACACACCCAUCUGCUGUUCCUCCCUCCUGAAUUCCACUGCAGUGAGCAUGAAUAUGCACCAAAGGAAACAAAUCCAUAAUAGAUAUAAGAAAAGGAAGAGGAGUUCCCGUCGUGGCACAGUGGUUAAUGAAUCCGACUAGGAACCAUGAGGUUGCGGGUUUGAUCCCUGGCCUUGCUCAGUGGGUUAAAGGAUCCAGUGUUGCUGUGAGCUGUGGUGUAGGUUGCAGACACGGCUCGGAUCCUGAGUUGCUGUGGCUGUGGGGUAGGCUGGCCGCUGCAGCUCCGAUUAGACCCCUAACCUGAGAACCUCCAUAUGCCGCGGGAGCAGCCCAAGAAAUGGCAAAAAGACAAAAAAAAAAAAAGAGAGAGAGAGAGAGAGAAGGAAGAGUAUAAGGUCAGUGGACUUUGGUGGCAUAAGGCAAAUAAGAGAGAUGUUUCUUUUAUGAGCAGAAAUGAAAACCAAUUUGUAUCCUGGAGUGACAAUAAAGAAUCAGCAGGUGUGAGGAGUAGGAUCAUGUUGUAGGACAGUGAUGAAUUAUUAUUUCAAAAACUGUAUACUGAACUGCAGUGUCCUGCAUGUAGUCUGUCACCUCCAUCCUUGUAGGUACAGAGAGUGGGCAAAUGUGGCCAUAAAUAAAGUGUAAUUAACAGAUAGACAGUUUAAAGAUGGUUGGACAGGGGUGGGAUCAAGAUGGCAGAGGAAUAAGAUGAGCCACUCACCUUUUCCCACAGACACCUCAAAAAAAACUACAUGUAGAACAAUUAGCACAGAACAUCUACUUAACAUGGCAGAAGACCUCCAAUCUCCAAAAAGGGUAAGAAAACCUCUGCAUAACUAGGUAGAACAAAAGGAAAAAAAUGAGAGAGAGAGAGAAAAGGAAUCAGGACAGGGUCAGCACUCCUGAGAGGGAGCUGUGAAAUAGGAAAGGAAGCUGCACCUGGGAAACCACCUAACUGAUGGGGAAAUCAGCUGAGAUGGAAGGACCACAAAGCCUCUGAGAAAAGUGCAGCAGCUGAACUGAGGAGGGCAAAGCAGAGAGAGAGCCUCACAAACCAUGAACUCCACAGCCAGAAAUGCUUGGACAGGGGCUGGGUGCUGAGACUCAGGCUCGAGUUCAGUUCCAGGGAGAGGACUAGGGUUUGUUGUGUGGAGACAGCCUGAGGGGUUAGGGAGUGGUGCACCUUGGGUUGGGGAGCAGAGCACGACAGCUGAGGGAGCAUAGGAGGAGGCCUGGGCCCACAGGAGAAGCAAGGCACCAUUGCUGGGGAGGAUGAGAGAAGGGAGAGACCUCCAAAGGAAUAUCUUUCUCUGCACAUGCUUGGGCUCUCAGUGGCAGGAGUUUCUUGUGCCAGGGUAGCCUCUUUCACAGGCUACAGGCAGUAGGGUACCUCUCAUGUGGGAUACAGGUGGUGGGGAUAAACCUGAACAGGCACCACCUGCAGCUAGUCACCUCGAGGAUCAGCAUAGAGGAUGGCACUGCAACUGAGGGCCACCCAUUGUUGCUCUCACUCCCCUGAGAAUGUACACACCCUGCUGCUGCCACUGCCAAACUCUCCAGGUGCCACCUACACAUGCCUGAGGGUCACUACCACUUCCCACGGCCCUGCAACCAGGAGCAGCCUGCACCACCUUCCUGUGGGUCCUCACUGCUGUCAAGGGCCCAGCAAUGAGGCACUGGUGACAGCCCUGCCUAUUGCAUCCAUCUCCCUGGCAGCAUGUGCAGGCCAUACACCAGCACAAGGAGAGCAGCCUGCGUGUAAUGAGGGAAGAGUCAGUAAGCACUGAAACCAAAAGCAGCCCUCAUGCCAAAGGAAAAAAAAAAGUAAUCCCUCACAAAAUACCCAGGAACACUCUCACAUAUAAAUAGCCCUCCAAAACUACAGUAGUUGUUUUCCAUAAAUUAAAAAAAUAAGAAAAAUAAAAGCAAAAUGAAGAGGUUCAGGAACCAUUCCCAGUUAAAAGAACAGGAGAAUUCCCUUGAAGAAGCAAACGAUGAAACAGAUCUCUGCAGUCUGUCACCAAGUUCAAAAAGGAGACUGUGAAAAUACUGAAAGAAUUAAGGGCAAGUAUAAAGGAAUUAAGAGUAGAAAUGAACAGUAAUGCAGAUAGGAACUAGAAAAUAUGAGGAGGAGCCAAGAAAAAUUAGAAAAUUCAUUUGCAGAAAUCCGAACUGAAUUAAAGGCAUUGAAGAGCAGAAUGAAUGAUGCAGAGGAAUGAAUAAGUGACUUGGAAGAUAGAAUAAUGAAAAUCACCCAAUCAGGACAGCAGACAGAAAAUCAAAUGAAAAAAACUUGAAAGCUAUAUAAGAGAUCUAUGGGCUAACAUAAAGCAGGCCAAUCUACACAUAAUAGGGAUUCCAGAAGGAGAAGAAAAAGAAAAAGGGAUCAAAAAUAUAUUUGAAAAAAAAUUAUAGCUAAAAACUUUCCAAGUCUAAAGAAAACAGAUAUUGAGGUUCAAGAAGAACAGAGGGCCCCAAACUAGUUGAAUCCAAACAGGCCCAUAUCAAGAAAGACAUAUUAUAAUAAAAAUGGCAAAAGUUAAAGAAAAGAUUCUAAAGGCAGCAAGAGCAAAACAAAGACAAUUAUAAUGGAAGCUAUCAGUUGAUUUCUAUACAGAAGCACUACAGGCCAUAAGAGAGUGGCAAGAUAUAUUCAAAGUUCUAAAAGGGAAAUUUUUUCAGCCUAGAAUACUCUACCCAGCAUGAAUAUCAUUUAAUGUAGGAGAAAUAAAGAAUUUCUCCAAGAAAUAAAAACUAAAAGAAUACAACAAUACUAAACUCAUUCUAAAAGAAAUACUGAAAGGUCUCUUGUAAAUAGGAAAGAAGUAAGAAGAUAUAGGACAGAGGAAAUCACAAUUGGAAAGUAAUCACUUAAAUAAGCCAGUAUACAGAUCUAAAAGGAAAAAUAUAAAGUAUUUUUAAAAGCAACAAUAAACACAAGGAACAGCAAAAGGAUGAACAUGAAUACGUUAAAAACAGGACAUCAAAUAAUAAAAUGUGGGGAAUGAAAAUAAGAAAAUCUUGACACUUUUUUUUUAAGAAUGUGUUUGAGCCUAUAUUUCUCUCAGGCUAAAGCAAGCAGACAUAGAAAGGGGUUAACAUACUUGAAAAACAGGACAACCACAAAUCAAAACCAAACAGUACAUUCACAAAAACUACAAAGAAGAAGACACAAGCACAAAAUAAAAGGAAAUCAUCCAAUUAAAAAAAAGGGAACAAAGGAGAAACAGAAUAAACUGGAAAACAAGGUUUAAAAUAGCAAUAAAUACAUAUUUAUCAAUAAUCACCAUAAAUGUCAGCGGACGAAUGCUCUAAUCAAAAGACAUAGAGUGGCAGGCUGGAUCAAAAAAGAAGAGGCUGCAAUACACUGCCUACAAGAAACUCACAUCAGGACAAAGGACACAUAUAGAUUGAGAGUGAGGGUAUGGGAAAGGUAUUUGAUGCCAGGGGACAAGACAGGAAAGCAGGAAUUGCAAUACUCAUAUCAGACAAAAUAGACUUUAAAACAAAGCUAUAAAGAAAGACAAAGAAGGACAUUAUUUAAUGAUAUAAGGAUUAAUUCAAGAAAAGGAUAUUAUGAUCAUUUAUAUAUAUAUAAAUGAUCCCUAAUAUAGGAUCCCUAAUAUAGGAUCACCCAAAUACCUAUAACAAAUACUAACAGUCAUAAAAGGAUAAAUUAAUGGGAAUACAGUAAUUGUAGGAAAUUUAAACUGUAUUCACAUCAAUGGACAGAUCCCCUAGAUAGAAAGUCAAUAAGGCAACAGAGAUCCUAAAUGACACAAUAAAAAAGUAGACUUAAUUGACAUUUUUGGGACAUUACAUCCAAAAAAGUCAGAAUGUAUCUUUUCAGGUGCACAUGGAACAUUCUCAAGGAUUGACCACAUACUGGGCACCAAACUAACCUCAACAAAUUUAAGACCA
This 7247-nucleotide long non-coding RNA is filed under the name Sus scrofa (pig). RNAcentral describes it as "lncRNA (ENSSSCG00015025239.1)". The record is from RNAcentral. Lineage: Eukaryota; Metazoa; Chordata; Mammalia; Artiodactyla; Suidae.